UUUAAAGAGAGUUUGAUCCUGGCUCAGGACGAACGCUGGCGGCGUGCCUAAUACAUGCAAGUCGAACGAACGGAGGAAGAGCUUGCUCUUCCAAUGUUAGUGGCGGACGGGUGAGUAACACGUGGGCAACCUGCCUGUAAGUUGGGGAUAACUCCGGGAAACCGGGGCUAAUACCGAAUGAUAAGAUGUGGCGCAUGCCACGCCUUUGAAAGAUGGUUUCGGCUAUCGCUUACAGAUGGGCCCGCGGUGCAUUAGCUAGUUGGUAGGGUAAUGGCCUACCAAGGCAACGAUGCAUAGCCGACCUGAGAGGGUGAUCGGCCACACUGGGACUGAGACACGGCCCAGACUCCUACGGGAGGCAGCAGUAGGGAAUCUUCCGCAAUGGACGAAAGUCUGACGGAGCAACGCCGCGUGUAUGAAGAAGGUUUUCGGAUCGUAAAGUACUGUUGUUAGAGAAGAACAAGGAUAAGAGUAACUGCUUGUCCCUUGACGGUAUCUAACCAGAAAGCCACGGCUAACUACGUGCCAGCAGCCGCGGUAAUACGUAGGUGGCAAGCGUUGUCCGGAUUUAUUGGGCGUAAAGCGCGCGCAGGCGGUCUUUUAAGUCUGAUGUGAAAGCCCCCGGCUUAACCGGGGAGGGUCAUUGGAAACUGGAAGACUGGAGUGCAGAAGAGGAGAGUGGAAUUCCACGUGUAGCGGUGAAAUGCGUAGAUAUGUGGAGGAACACCAGUGG
This 733-nucleotide ribosomal RNA is filed under the name Listeria monocytogenes. RNAcentral describes it as "bacterial SSU rRNA". It matches the Rfam family "Bacterial small subunit ribosomal RNA", at positions 1 to 715 of the family's 1533-position model. The record is from RNAcentral. Lineage: Bacteria; Bacillati; Bacillota; Bacilli; Caryophanales; Listeriaceae.